CCAGAGAACUUAGCAGAGAUGCUUUGGUGCCUUCGGGAACUCUGAGACAGGUGCUGCAUGGCUGUCGUCAGCUCGUGUUGUGAAAUGUUGGGUUAAGUCCCGCAACGAGCGCAACCCUUAUCCUUUUGUUGCCAGCGGCUCGGCCGGGAACUCAAAGGAGACUGCCGGUGAUAAACCGGAGGAAGGUGGGGAUGACGUCAAGUCAUCAUGGCCCUUACGGCCAGGGCUACACACGUGCUACAAUGGCGCAUACAAAGAGAAGCGACCUCGCGAGAGCAAGCGGACCUCAUAAAGUGCGUCGUAGUCCGGAUUGGAGUCUGCAACUCGACUCCAUGAAGUCGGAAUCGCUAGUAAUCGUAGAUCAGAAUGCUACGGUGAAUACGUUCCCGGGCCUUGUACACACCGCCCGUCACACCAUGGGAGUGGGUUGCAAAAGAAGUAGGUAGCUUAACCUUCGGGAGGGCGCUUACCACUUUGUGAUUCAUGACUGGGGUGAAGUCGUAACAAGGUAAGCGUAGCGAG
This 522-nucleotide ribosomal RNA is filed under the name uncultured bacterium. RNAcentral's name for it is "bacterial SSU rRNA". It matches the Rfam family "Bacterial small subunit ribosomal RNA", at positions 988 to 1509 of the family's 1533-position model. The record is from RNAcentral.